GUCCACGCCGUAACGGUGGGCGCUAGUUGUGCGAACCUUCCACGGUUGUGCGACGCAGCUAACGCAUUAAGCGCCCGCCUGGGAGUACGAUCGCAAGAUUAAACUCAAAGGAAUUGACGGGCCCCGCACAAGCAGCGGAGCAUGCGGCUUAAUUCUACGCAACGCGAAGAACCUUACCAAGGCUUGACAUAUACAGGAAUACGGCAGAGAUGUCGUAGCCGCAAGGUCUGUAUACAGGUGGUGCAUGGUUGUCGU
Molecule: ribosomal RNA, 255 nt
Filed under: uncultured bacterium
Lineage: Bacteria
Description: partial 16S ribosomal RNA
Rfam family: Bacterial small subunit ribosomal RNA
Source: RNAcentral